UCUCCUGCAUUGUGGAAUUUGUUGUCUGU
RNAcentral lists this non-coding RNA (29 nucleotides) under Mus musculus (house mouse). The record is from RNAcentral. Lineage: Eukaryota; Metazoa; Chordata; Mammalia; Rodentia; Muridae.